Non-coding RNA from Myotis davidii, 75 nucleotides. The record is from Rfam. Lineage: Eukaryota; Metazoa; Chordata; Mammalia; Chiroptera; Vespertilionidae.
GGCGGUUCUCAGGUGACGCACUCCGGAAUCAGGCUCCCUCCUCUCUGGUUCCAAGUGUGUGACUCAAAAACUGCA